GACGAACGCUGGCGGCGUGCUUAACACAUGCAAGUCGAUCGGAAAGGCCCUGCUUUUGUGGGGUGCUCGAGUGGCGAACGGGUGAGUAACACGUGAGUAACCUGCCCUUGACUUUGGGAUAACUUCAGGAAACUGGGGCUAAUACCGGAUAGGAGCUCCUGCUGCAUGGUGGGGGUUGGAAAGUUUCGGCGGUUGGGGAUGGACUCGCGGCUUAUCAGCUUGUUGGUGGGGUAGUGGCUUACCAAGGCUUUGACGGGUAGCCGGCCUGAGAGGGUGACCGGCCACAUUGGGACUGAGAUACGGCCCAGACUCGUACGGGAGGCAGCAGUGGGGUAUAUUGCACAAUGGGCGGAAGCCUGAUGCGGCAACGCCGCGUGCGGGAUGACGGCCUUCGGGUUGUAAACCGCUUUCGCCUGUGACGAAGCGUGAGUGACGGUAAUGGGUAAAGAAGCACCGGCUAACUACGUG
RNAcentral lists this ribosomal RNA (468 nucleotides) under uncultured bacterium. RNAcentral's name for it is "partial 16S ribosomal RNA". It matches the Rfam family "Bacterial small subunit ribosomal RNA", at positions 28 to 507 of the family's 1533-position model. The record is from RNAcentral.